CUAAGAAGGGGUCGCAUGUCUAGUAUAAGCAUUAUACCGCGAAACUGCGAAUGGCUCAUUAAAUCAGUUAUCGUUUAUUUGAUAGUACCUUACUACAUGGAUAACCGUGGUAAUUCUAGAGCUAAUACAUGCUAAAAAUCCCGACUUCGGAAGGGAUGUAUUUAUUAGAUUAAAAACCAAUGCCCUUCGGGGCUCUCUGGUGAUUCAUAAUAACUUCUCGAAUCGCACGGCCUUGCGCCGGCGAUGGUUCAUUCAAAUUUCUGCCCUAUCAACUUUCGACGGCUGGGUCUUGGCCAGCCGUGGUGACAACGGGUAACGGAGGGUUAGGGCUCGACCCCGGAGAAGGAGCCUGAGAAACGGCUACUACAUCCAAGGAAGGCAGCAGGCGCGCAAAUUACCCAAUCCCGACACGGGGAGGUAGUGACAAUAAAUACUGAUACAGGGCUCUUUCGGGUCUUGUAAUUGGAAUGAGUACAAUUUAAAUCCCUUAACGAGGAACAAUUGGAGGGCAAGUCUGGUGCCAGCAGCCGCGGUAAUUCCAGCUCCAAUAGCGUAUAUUAAAGUUGUUGAGGUUAAAAAGCUCGUAGUUGAACCUUGGGCCUAGCCGGCCGGUCCGCCUCACCGCGUGCACUGGCUCGGCUGGGUCUUUCCUUCUGGAGAACCUCAUGCCCUUCACUGGGUGUGACGGGGAACCAGGACUUUUACUCUGAACAAAUUAGAUCGCUUAAAGAAGGCCUAUGCUCGAAUACAUUAGCAUGGAAUAAUAGAAUAGGACGUGUGGUUCUAUUUUGUUGGUUUCUAGGACCGCCGUAAUGAUUAAUAGGGACAGUCGGGGGCAUCAGUAUUCAAUUGUCAGAGGUGAAAUUCUUGGAUUUAUUGAAGACUAACUACUGCGAAAGCAUUUGCCAAGGAUGUUUUCAUUAAUCAGGAACGAAAGUUAGGGGAUCGAAGACGAUCAGAUACCGUCGUAGUCUUAACCAUAAACUAUGCCGAUUAGGGAUCGGACGGCGUUAUUUUUUGACCCGUUCGGCACCUUACGAUAAAUCAAAAUGUUUGGGCUCCUGGGGGAGUAUGGUCGCAAGGCUGAAACUUAAAGAAAUUGACGGAAGGGCACCACCAGGGGGUGGAGCCUGCGGGCUUAAUUUGACUCAACACGGGGAAACUCACCAGGUCCAGACACGAUGAGGAAGGACGGAUGGAGAGCUCUUUCUUGAUUUCCUGGGGGGGGGGUGCAGGCCCGUUCUUAGUUGGUGGGAGUGAUUUGUCGGCUUAAUUGCAAUUAAAGAACAAGAACCUUAACCUGGCAAAAAAACCCGGUAUUGGCUUUGGCAAUAACCCUGGCUUUCUUAAAAGGAACAUCA
This 1361-nucleotide ribosomal RNA is filed under the name Chaetomium elatum. RNAcentral describes it as "SSU rRNA". It matches the Rfam family "Eukaryotic small subunit ribosomal RNA", at positions 38 to 1425 of the family's 1831-position model. Lineage: Eukaryota; Fungi; Ascomycota; Sordariomycetes; Sordariales; Chaetomiaceae. The record is from RNAcentral.